AAGAGCUAGGUUUGUGGUUGAAAGUCGAUGCCAGUCGCAGGCAAAACGAUCCACGUAAGUUGAACAAAGUUUCAAUGAGCAUGGUGCGGCUUAGAAGUAAGUCCUGCCAGGAAAACUGAGAGGAUUAGUAGUGAGAAGUUAAAUCUGGGUAGCGAAAGUUCCAGCAGGCGAGUGUGGGGUCAAAGACCAGGUCAACUAGCAUGA
Regulatory RNA element from Clostridium fallax, 204 nucleotides. It matches the Rfam family "raiA RNA". The record is from Rfam. NCBI's taxonomy places the organism in Bacteria, Bacillati, Bacillota, Clostridia, Eubacteriales, Clostridiaceae.